UGGUUUUACUCCAAAGGCAGUGAAAUCUUUCACAAGUUUGUGUACUUCAGUCUCUUCCUCAGAACCACGUUUGGUCCUAAGGCAUCUUUUCAGGAUGAGACAGCCAGCUGUGUAAAUUGAAAUUGGUGAACAAUCGUCCACUGGAG
RNAcentral lists this long non-coding RNA (146 nucleotides) under Phasianus colchicus (ring-necked pheasant). Its description in RNAcentral is "lncRNA (ENSPCLG00000008752.1)". The record is from RNAcentral. Lineage: Eukaryota; Metazoa; Chordata; Aves; Galliformes; Phasianidae.